Molecule: ribosomal RNA, 252 nt
Filed under: uncultured bacterium
Lineage: Bacteria
Description: partial 16S ribosomal RNA
Rfam family: Bacterial small subunit ribosomal RNA
Source: RNAcentral
CCAAAAGCUGGCGACCGGCGCACGAGUGAGUAACACGUAUCCAACCUGCCUCAUACUCGGGGAUAGCCUUUCGAAAGAAAGAUUAAUAUCCGAUAGCAUAUAUUUCCCGCAUGGGUUUUAUAUUAAAGAAAUUCGGUAUGAGAUGGGGAUGCGUUCCAUUAGUUUGUUGGGGGGGUAACGGCCCACCAAGACUACGAUGGAUAGGGGUUCUGAGAGGAAGGUCCCCCACAUUGGAACUGAGACACGGUCCGA